AAUUUGUACAUAUCAGAGUUCAAAGUUUUAUGUCUUGUCACUCAUGCUAUACUGAUGUGUUCAGUCUUGAGCUCUCACAAAUUUGACUCCUCUCCUGCUGUACCUUCAGUCUACUACAAAGUAGGAGUCUUCCAUACCUGCAUUAGAGAACUACUCUUGAGGCAAUACCAGACUGGGAGUAGUUGGUGCACUGGAGGACAGGGCUCCUGUUUGGUACAAAAACUGGUGGACAGCAAUGUCAGGGAGUCUAACAAAGUACAGUCUUGCAGCUAGAAUGGAAGAACUCCAUGCAAUGGUGCAGGUGGUGUGCUGCCAAGGCAGAAAACAGAUUACCAGAAGAAAAGAUAUCUAUAUAUAUCUAUAUAUAGAUAUAUGUAUAUUUAUAAAUGCAUAUAUAUACACACACAUAUGUA
Molecule: non-coding RNA, 413 nt
Organism: Anas platyrhynchos (mallard)
Lineage: Eukaryota; Metazoa; Chordata; Aves; Anseriformes; Anatidae
Source: RefSeq, a predicted model, not a curated record